This 642-nucleotide ribosomal RNA is filed under the name Triticum aestivum (bread wheat). RNAcentral describes it as "partial small subunit ribosomal RNA". The record is from RNAcentral. Lineage: Eukaryota; Viridiplantae; Streptophyta; Magnoliopsida; Poales; Poaceae.
AUGUCUAUGCACCCUAUGUCGCUCUCCUUACAACCCUUCACUGCAAAUUCAAUAAACACAUAUUCUUUAAGGAGCACUAGUGCGAAUUAUGACCGUGGUUUUAUAAAGUUGGUGCCAAUUGGAAGUAGUGGACAUUGGGUCACAAAUUUCAGACCAAAUUCUGCGUCUAGGCCUGAAACUUCUGUAGGACAUGAUUGUGUAGUGGGAGAGAAUGAUGGUGUGAUCAUAGUUGAUCACGGGUCACGUCGACAAGAAUCUAAUCUCAUGCUACAUGAUUUUGUUAGCAUGUUCAAGGCCAGGACUUGCUACAAUAUUGUUGAGCCUGCUCACAUGGAGCUGGCUGAGCCUACUAUUAAGGAAGCAUUUGGAAAAUGUGUGCAGCAGGGAGCAUCUCGCAUUAUUGUCAGUCCAUAUUUCCUUUCCCCUGGACGACACUGGAAGCAAGAUAUCCCUUCUUUAGCAUCAGAAGCCUCUAAAGAGCACUCAAGCGUACCCUACAUCAUCACGGCUCCUCUUGGAUUACAUGAGCUUAUGGUGGAUAUUAUGAACGAUCGCACCAAAUACUGCCUGAGGCACGCUGCAGGUGGAGUCGAUGAGUGUACGGUAUGUGCCGGGACUGGAAAGUGCCAUUUUUACUCUUGA